Capra hircus (goat) is the source of this 93-nucleotide small nuclear RNA. NCBI's taxonomy places the organism in Eukaryota, Metazoa, Chordata, Mammalia, Artiodactyla, Bovidae. The record is from Ensembl.
GUUCACCUCAGCAACACAUCCUAAAAUUGUAAGGACACAGAGAAGAUUAGUGUGGAGGAUGACAUGCACGUUCAUGAAGUUUUCCACAUUAAA